Molecule: long non-coding RNA, 178 nt
Organism: Chinchilla lanigera (long-tailed chinchilla)
Lineage: Eukaryota; Metazoa; Chordata; Mammalia; Rodentia; Chinchillidae
Exons: 2
Source: RefSeq, a predicted model, not a curated record
GCAACCCAAUGCCUUGAGAUGCCUGCCAACCCCCUGAGAAGAUCAAUAGAACAACUACUGGGCAUAUAACACAGAGGCAUCCACUGGAAAGUCCAGGCGCUGCAGUCCACUCAGUGGGGAGGUGGGCACAUCCCUCCACCACUAACGUGAGGCAGAUCCCCAUGACAAAGAGACAUGG